RNAcentral lists this small RNA (69 nucleotides) under Flavobacterium swingsii. RNAcentral describes it as "Flavo-1 RNA". It matches the Rfam family "Flavo-1 RNA". Lineage: Bacteria; Pseudomonadati; Bacteroidota; Flavobacteriia; Flavobacteriales; Flavobacteriaceae. The record is from RNAcentral.
UUUUAGCCCUGAUGGAAGUGGAAAUCCCACGCUUUUUUGCGUGGAUUGGAACAAACAGCAGGAAUAUGG